CGCCAGACUCCUACGGGAGGCAGCAGUGGGGAAUAUUGCACAAUGGGGGAAACCCUGAUGCAGCGACGCCGCGUGAGUGAAGAAGUAUUUCGGUAUGUAAAGCUCUAUCAGCAGGGAGGAAAAUGACGGUACCUGACUAAGAAGCCCCGGCUAACUACGUGCCAGCAGCCGCGGUAAUACGUAGGGGGCAAGCGUUAUCCGGAUUUACUGGGUGUAAAGGGAGCGUAGACGGCAUGGCAAGUCAGAUGUGAAAGCCCGGGGCUCAACCCCGGGACUGCAUUUGAAACUGUCAGGCUGGAGUGCAGGAGAGGUAAGUGGAAUUCCUAGUGUAGCGGUGAAAUGCGUAGAUAUUAGGAGGAACACCAGUGGCGAAGGCGGCUUACUGGACUGUAACUGACGUUGAGGCUCGAAAGCGUGGGGAGCAAACAGGAUUAGAUACCCCCGUAUCC
Molecule: ribosomal RNA, 449 nt
Filed under: uncultured bacterium
Lineage: Bacteria
Description: bacterial SSU rRNA
Rfam family: Bacterial small subunit ribosomal RNA
Source: RNAcentral